GUCCAUCUGAUGAGUCUCAAACAGGACGAAACGCUUGUCCUGUAU
Schistosoma curassoni is the source of this 45-nucleotide non-coding RNA. Lineage: Eukaryota; Metazoa; Platyhelminthes; Trematoda; Strigeidida; Schistosomatidae. The record is from Rfam.